UGGGGGAUAUUGCACAAUGGGCGAAAGCCUGAUGCAGCGACGCCGCGUGGGGGAUGAAGGCUUUCGGGUUGUAAACCUCUUUCGCUAUCGAACAAGGCCCGCUUAGGGUGGGUUGAGGGUAGGUGGAGAAGAAGCGCCGGCUAACUACGUGCCAGCAGCCGCGGUAAUACGUAGGGCGCGAGCGUUGUCCGGAAUUAUUGGGCGUAAAGGGCUUGUAGGCGGCUUGUUGCGCCUGCUGUGAAAACGCGGGGCUUAACUUCGCGCGUGCAGUGGGUACGGGCAGGCUUGAGUGUGGUAGAGGUGACUGGAAUUCCAGGUGUAGCGGUGGAAUGCGCAGAUAUCUGGAGGAGCACCGAUGGCGAAGGCAGGUCACUGGGCCAUUACUGACGCUGAGGAGCGAAAGCAUGGGUAGCGAACAGG
Molecule: ribosomal RNA, 420 nt
Filed under: bacterium
Lineage: Bacteria
Description: partial 16S ribosomal RNA
Rfam family: Bacterial small subunit ribosomal RNA
Source: RNAcentral